GCCAGUAAGUGGUAGAGCCAUGAUUCAUUCAAACCUAGGUUUGUCUGACCUCAAAGCUCAUUCUUUCAAAGUACAACUCUCUAUGUCCUCCUCAAGAGGCACUUUCUCGAGCUAGAGCCAAACCAACAACUAAAGGGUGCCUCCAAAAUCUGCUCUGUAGUCCUCUAUUUGACCAAGUGGACUGCUCUUAACUGGGGGAACUAAGACUGGUGCAUGUAAAGCAAUACAAUAUCACCCUCAGGAAUAAAGGAUGACAAUAGAAUAUCUCUGGUCUUUCCCAUGCCCCUUCAACCCUUCUUUAAAAAAAACAUCCUUUCUGUUUUACUACAUGAUUCUGGGAUACAGGGAGUCAAGGCUAGUGUAACCUCUGGAAUAAUUCCAUUACGUUCUUAAUUCCAGUUUAUUUUGAUCUCAGUUUACAUUUAUGGACCGAAGAAAGUGGUAGGUUCUGUAGGAGAACAGGACACAGUCAUCCCUAUUCUCAAGGAUACAGAAAACUUCUGGGUCCUGUUCUUUUACUCAGUGCAAGUAGUUAUAGACUAACUAUGGGCCUUGUGGUGUUCAGUAUUCUUCGAGUUUUGAGUAUCAUACUAAAAAGUUUCAACAGAAAGUCUCCUCUUAAAGAGGUGUUCUAUUCCCCCAGAGGUAAUCAGAAGCUGCAUUCUCUGGCAUUCUUGUGUUGUGCAUUUCACGUCCUCUGGCAUCUCAUGACUGGGUUGGUCUCUCUACCUUUUCCUGUCUAACUGCUGCUUGUUUUUUGAGGUCUUUCUGCACAAAGUGGUUUCUGGUCACGUCAGCCCAUAUUGAUAUCUUUCCUAGAACAAUCAAGGGCAGAAUCGGCUUUGACUCCUAUCUGCUAUUUAUUGGGAAAAGCCUUAGUUGCAUAAGUGGAAUUCCUUUUCACAUUUGAGAAACAGAGGAGAGACAGUUGGAUUUUUUUCCUGUUUCUGGUUAAUUGCUAAAAUCUACAGUGUGCUGAAGGUGGAGUAAAGUAUUUCCCCAAAGGAUUCCAAGCACAUCUCCCUUGCCCUUGAAUAUCUGUAUAUCUAUAUGAACAUCAAUUGAGAUAUAUAUGUGUGUGCCCCUAAUUACAUAAUUUUAAGCAUAUAUAUAAAAAUGUAAAAUCUCAUUGUCUGGCCUCAGUUUGUAUGACACAAAAUACUGAUUGUAUGGAAGAAAACAGAUUGGGAAACAGAUUUAUUCUAUAUCAUAUUUUCCUGAAAAGCUACCUUAAAAAGAUUUAAAUUAAAGCAAUUAGAGCAAGGGAGGCACAUUUCUUUAAAAAAUUAAAGUUGAGUACCAUACUGGUUUUUCAGAUGAAAUUUUCUUUUCCUUUUUCUCCUUCAUAUUGCUCAGAGCAUCUAAUUCCAUCAGAACUAUUGUCAAAUAAAUUUUAUGUAAAAUGUGUAUUUUUCUAAUGGGAGUUGAUUAUACAAACUGUAUUACACCUUUGUAUCUGAGUGAUCAUUUAAAAAUGCAUAUUGGUUUAGCACAUAGAGUUUAUGAAAUGCCAGAUAAUGCUCUUAUUCCUCAGUGAAAUCUGCACAUUUCUAGUUGUUGGUGGUCUAUUUCUGUUUGCUGUUCCUUGGAGGGGGGCUGAGAAUGUUCAAGUUUGACUUAGCUGUGUUUAAGUAAUAAAUCUUUGGAGUCAA
RNAcentral lists this long non-coding RNA (1652 nucleotides) under Homo sapiens (human). RNAcentral's name for it is "HSALNT0408866". Lineage: Eukaryota; Metazoa; Chordata; Mammalia; Primates; Hominidae. The record is from RNAcentral.